CCUGAGAAACCCGAAAGAUCGAAUGGGGAGAUUCAUCGUCAGCGAUUUUGGUACGUGUGCGGUUCGCGAUGCCGGGGACCUCGGUCCCAUGGCACGCGUCCGCAUGUUUUUAUUGCCUGAAUCGUCGGCGUGCACUUCUCCCCUAGUAGGACGUCGCGACCCGUUGGGUGUCGGUCUACGACCCGGGUGGUAGCCUGUCUCGUGUGCGCUUUACGGCGUUACGCGGGGCAGACCCCUGUGUGUCUGGCCGGCUGCCCGGCGGUACUCGCAUGGUAUCUGGCCGCAAAUAUUCGAACUGCGUCCGGCCCGUCGACCCGUCUUGAAACACGGACCAAGGAGUCUAACAUGUGCGCGAGUCAUUGGGAUCUAUUAAGCCUAAAGGCGCAAUGAAAGUGAAGGUCGGCCUUGCGCCAACCGAGGGAGGAUGGGCCGCGUCACGAUGCGGUCCCGCACUCCCGGGGCGUCUCGUUCUCAUUGCGAGAAGAGGCGCACCCAG
This 496-nucleotide ribosomal RNA is filed under the name Paraphylax sp. RDB-2000. RNAcentral's name for it is "eukaryotic LSU rRNA". It matches the Rfam family "Eukaryotic large subunit ribosomal RNA", at positions 543 to 798 of the family's 3401-position model. The record is from RNAcentral. Lineage: Eukaryota; Metazoa; Arthropoda; Insecta; Hymenoptera; Ichneumonidae.